AGGUUUUGAUUCGGUGGUUGCAAACCAACAGCAAUAUGUGUCGCUAUCAAGCAGAAUCCAUGCUUCUGAAGAGCACAUCUGCCAAGGGAGAGACAAGAGCUGAAACCACAGUAACAGAGGAAAAUACAGAACCGGGAACAGUGCUUCUAAUGCAUGCUGCAGCUGACUGGUGCAAAAAGUCCAAAUUUGGGGGAGCCUUGAAGCUGCCAGCUGUCAUUUCAAUGGACAAAGACGAACAAAUGGAAGUCCUCAAAGAACUGCAGAGUU
Long non-coding RNA from Acanthochromis polyacanthus (spiny chromis), 267 nucleotides. RefSeq lists it as uncharacterized. NCBI's taxonomy places the organism in Eukaryota, Metazoa, Chordata, Actinopteri, Pomacentridae. The transcript is spliced from 3 exons. The record is from RefSeq and is a predicted model, not a curated record.